This 906-nucleotide ribosomal RNA is filed under the name uncultured bacterium. RNAcentral describes it as "bacterial SSU rRNA". It matches the Rfam family "Bacterial small subunit ribosomal RNA", at positions 521 to 1429 of the family's 1533-position model. The record is from RNAcentral.
UANUACGUAGGGUGCGAGCGUUAAUNGGAAUUACUGGGCGUAAAGCGAGCNCAGACGGUUUAUUAAGCAAGAUGUGAANUCCCCGAGCUUAACUUGGGAACUGCGUUUUGAACUGGUAAGCUAGAGUAUGUUAGAGGGGGGUAGAAUUCCACGUGUAGCAGUGAAAUGCGUAGAGAUGUGGAGGAAUACCGAUGGCGAAGGCAGCCCCUGGGAUAAUACUGACGUUCAUGCUCGAAAGCGUGGGUAGCAAACAGGAUUAGAUACCCUGGUAGUCCACGCCCUAAACGAUGUCAAUUAGCUGUUGGGGCACUUGAUGCCUUAGUAGCGAAGCUAACGCGUGAAAUUGACCGCCUGGGGAGUACGGUCGCAAGAUUAAAACUCAAAGGAAUUGACGGGGACCCGCACAAGCGGUGGAUGAUGUGGAUUAAUUCGAUGCAACGCGAAGAACCUUACCUGGUCUUGACAUGUACGGAAUCUUCCAGAGACGGAAGAGUGCCUUCGGGAGCCGUAACACAGGUGCUGCAUGGCUGUCGUCAGCUCGUGUCGUGAGAUGUUGGGUUAAGUCCCGCAACGAGCGCAACCCUUGUCAUUAGUUGCCACCAUUCAGUUGGGCACUCUAAUGAGACUGCCGGUGACAAACCGGAGGAAGGUGGGGAUGACGUCAAGUCCUCAUGGCCCUUAUGACCAGGGCUUCACACGUCAUACAAUGGUCGGUACAGAGGGUAGCCAAGCCGCGAGGUGGAGCCAAUCUCAGGAAACCGAUCGUAGUCCGGAUUGCACUCUGCAACUCGAGUGCAUGAAGUCGGAAUCGCUAGUGAUCGCAGGUCAGCAUACUGCGGUGAAUACGUUCCCGGGUCUUGUACACACCGCCCGUCACACCAUGGGAGUGGGGGAUACCAGAAGUAG